AUGUUGGAGGCAAACUGGAGUCUGCUGCAGCGCUGGGGCACCAGUCUUAGGAGAGGAGCUGAUUUUGACUCGGGGCCAGCUGGUGUAGGUGAUAUAUGAGUAUCAGAUAUUAGCAAGACACUUACAGAAGGAGACCCAAGCUCAACACAAUAAUUCUGAAUUCACAAAAGAAAGAUAGAAAACCAUAGGUAAAAUUGUAACAUAUUUCGAAUUGCAAAGUGCAGCAUUAUAGUCCACACAGUCCCAAGAAGAGUUUAAACUGGAGGACCUGAAGAAGCUAGAACCAAUCCUGAAGAAUAUUCUUACAUACAAUAAAGAAUUCCCAUUUGAUGUUCAGCCUAUCCCAUUAAGAGGGAUUUUAGCACCUGGUGAAGAAGAGAAUUUGCAGUUUGAAGAAGAUGAAGAAGGUGGUGCUAGAGCAGGACCUCCUGAUUCUUUCUCUGCUAGAGUUCCUGGUACUUUAUUGCCACGGUUGCCAUCGGGACCAGGGAUGACAUUACUCACCAUCAGGAUUGAGAAAAUUGGUUUGAAAGAUGCGGGGCAGUUUAUCGACCCCCUACAUCACAGUCAGCGUGGAAGAUUUGAAUGGCGUAGAUUUAACUCCCGUACAAGGUACUCCUGUGGCUUCAAGGAAAGAAGACACUUAUGUUCACUUUAAUGUGGACAUUGAGCUCCAGAAACAUGUUGAAAAGUUAACCAAAGAUGCAGCCCUCUUCUUUGAAUUCAAACAUUGCAGGCCUAGAAAGAGGUUUACCAGCACCAAGUGUUUUGCUGUCAUGGAGAUGGAUGAAAUUCAACCUGGGCCAAUUGUAAUAGACCUAUAUGAGAAACCCACUGACUUUAAGAGAAAGAAAUUGCUAUUGUUGAUCAAGAAACCACUUGAUCUUCAUCUAUAUCAAAGUUUGCACAAGGAAUCAUCCUGA
Molecule: non-coding RNA, 923 nt
Organism: Mus caroli (Ryukyu mouse)
Lineage: Eukaryota; Metazoa; Chordata; Mammalia; Rodentia; Muridae
Source: RefSeq, a predicted model, not a curated record